UACGAAGGGGGCUAGCGUUGCUCGGAUUUACUGGGCGUAAAGGGCGCGUAGGCGGACAGUUUAGUCAGAGGUGAAAGCCCAGGGCUCAACCUUGGAAUUGCCUUUGAUACUGGCUGUCUUGAGUACGGGAGAGGUGAGUGGAACUCCGAGUGUAGAGGUGAAAUUCGUAGAUAUUAGGAAGAACACCAGUGGCGAAGGCGGCUCACUGGCCCGGUACUGACGCUGAGGCGCGAAAGCGUGGGGAGCAAACGGG
This 253-nucleotide ribosomal RNA is filed under the name uncultured bacterium. RNAcentral describes it as "partial 16S ribosomal RNA". It matches the Rfam family "Bacterial small subunit ribosomal RNA", at positions 524 to 776 of the family's 1533-position model. The record is from RNAcentral.